RNAcentral lists this ribosomal RNA (245 nucleotides) under uncultured bacterium. Its description in RNAcentral is "partial 16S ribosomal RNA". It matches the Rfam family "Bacterial small subunit ribosomal RNA", at positions 524 to 770 of the family's 1533-position model. The record is from RNAcentral.
UACGAAGGGGCUAGCGUUGUUCGGAAUUACUGGGCGUAAAGCGCACGUAGGCGGAUAUUUAAGUCAGGGGUGAAAUCCCAGAGCUCAACUCUGGAACUGCCUUUGAUACUGGGUAUCUUGAGUAUGGAAGAGGUAAGUGGAAUUGCGAGUGUAGAGGUGAAAUUCGUAGAUAUUCGCAGGAACACCAGUGGCGAAGGCGGCUUACUGGUCCAUAACUGACGCUGAGUGCGAAAGCGAUGGGAGCA